UACGUAGGGCGCAAGCGUUAUCCGGAAUUAUUGGGCGUAAAGAGCUCGUAGGCGGUUUGUCGCGUCUGCCGUGAAAGUCCGGGGCUCAACUCCGGAUCUGCGGUGGGUACGGGCAGACUAGAGUGAUGUAGGGGAGACUGGAAUUCCUGGUGUAGCGGUGAAAUGCGCAGAUAUCAGGAGGAACACCGAUGGCGAAGGCGGGUCUCUGGGCAAUAACUGACGCUGAGGAGCGAAAGCGUGGGGAGCGAACAGG
This 253-nucleotide ribosomal RNA is filed under the name uncultured bacterium. RNAcentral's name for it is "partial 16S ribosomal RNA". It matches the Rfam family "Bacterial small subunit ribosomal RNA", at positions 524 to 776 of the family's 1533-position model. The record is from RNAcentral.